This 759-nucleotide ribosomal RNA is filed under the name Ditylenchus dipsaci. RNAcentral's name for it is "SSU rRNA". It matches the Rfam family "Eukaryotic small subunit ribosomal RNA", at positions 955 to 1738 of the family's 1831-position model. The record is from RNAcentral. Lineage: Eukaryota; Metazoa; Nematoda; Chromadorea; Rhabditida; Anguinidae.
UUGCCAAGAAGGUCUUCAUUAAUCAAGAACGAAAGUCAGAGGUUCGAAGGCGAUCAGAUACCGCCCUAGUUCUGACCGUAAACGAUGCCAACUAGCGAUCUGCCGGCGGAAUUUUCGCCCUGGUAGGGAGCUUCCCGGAAACGAAAGUCUUCCGGUUCCGGGGGAAGUAUGGUUGCAAAGCUGAAACUUAAAGGAAUUGACGGAAGGGCACCACCAGGAGUGGAGCCUGCGGCUUAAUUUGACUCAACACGGGGAAACUCACCCGGCCCGGACACCAUAAGGAUUGACAGAUUGAUAGCUUUUUCAUGAUUUGGUGGAUGGUGGUGCAUGGCCGUUCUUAGUUCGUGGAGCGAUUUGUCUGGUUUAUUCCGAUAACGAGCGAGACUCUAGCCUACUAAAUAGUCUGCACAUUGCUUCUGUGAUGCAGUACUUCUUAGAGGGAUUUUCGGUGUACAGCCGCACGAGAUUGAGCAAUAACAGGUCUGUGAUGCCCUUAGAUGUCCGGGGCUGCACGCGCGCUACACUGGCGAAAUCAGCGUGCUUGUCCUUGCUCGAAAGAGCUUGGUAAACCAAUGAAAAUUUGCCGUGAUUGGGAUCGGAAAUUGCAAUUAUUUUCCGUGAACGAGGAAUUCCAAGUAAAUGCGAGUCAUCAACUCGCGUUGAUUACGUCCCUGCCCUUUGUACACACCGCCCGUCGCUGCCCGGGACUGAGCCAUUUCGAGAAAUUCGGGGAUUGCCGAUUAGCGGUCUUUCGGGAUU